UAAGCAUAUCAAUAAGCGGAGGAAAAGAAACCAACAGGGAUUGCCCUAGUAACGGCGAGUGAAGCGGCAACAGCUCAAAUUUGAAAUCUGGCCCCCCCACGGGGGUCCGAGUUGUAAUUUGCAGAGGGUGCUUUGGCGUUGGCUGUGGUCUAAGUUCCUUGGAACAGGACGUCGCAGAGGGUGAGAAUCCCGUAUGUGGCCGCCAGUCUUCGCCGUGUAAAGCCCCUUCGACGAGUCGAGUUGUUUGGGAAUGCAGCUCUAAAUGGGAGGUAAAUUUCUUCUAAAGCUAAAUAUCUGCCAGAGACCGAUAGCGCACAAGUAGAGUGAUCGAAAGAUGAAAAGCACUUUGGAAAGAGAGUCAAAAAGCACGUGAAAUUGUUGAAAGGGAAGCGCUUGCAGUUAGACGUGCCUCUAGUUGCUCAGCCGGGCCUUCGGGCCCGGUGCACUCUUCUAUUGGCAGGCCAGCAUCAGUCUGGGCGGUCGGAUAAAGGCCCAUUAAACGUGACUCCCUCCGGGGAGAGCUUAUAGGGUGGGCGACAUGCGACCAGCCCGGACUGAGGUCCGCGCAUCUGCUAGGAUGCUGGCUUAAUAACUGUAAGCGGCCCGUCUUGAAACACGGACCAAGGAGUCUAACAUCUAUGCGAGUGUUUGGGUGUCAAGCCCGGACGCGUAAUGAAAGUGAACGGAGGUGGGAUCCCUUCGGGGUGCACCAUCGACCGAUCCUGAUGUCUUCGGAUGGAUUUGAGUAAGAGCAUAGCUGUUGGGACCCGAAAGAUGGUGAACUAUGCCUGAAUAGGGUGAAGCCAGAGGAAACUCUGGUGGAGGCUCGCAGCGGUUCUGACGUGCAAAUCGAUCGUCAAAUU
RNAcentral lists this ribosomal RNA (863 nucleotides) under Neovaginatispora clematidis. Its description in RNAcentral is "partial large subunit ribosomal RNA". It matches the Rfam family "Eukaryotic large subunit ribosomal RNA", at positions 35 to 911 of the family's 3401-position model. Lineage: Eukaryota; Fungi; Ascomycota; Dothideomycetes; Pleosporales; Lophiostomataceae. The record is from RNAcentral.